Molecule: ribosomal RNA, 164 nt
Filed under: uncultured bacterium
Lineage: Bacteria
Description: partial 16S rRNA
Rfam family: Bacterial small subunit ribosomal RNA
Source: RNAcentral
UAGGGAAUCUUCCACAAUGGACGAAAGUCUGAUGGAGCAACGCCGCGUGAGUGAAGAAGGGUUUCGGCUCGUAAAACUCUGUUGUUAAAGAAGAACAUAUCUGAGAGUAACUGUUCAGGUAUUGACGGUAUUUAACCAGAAAGCCACGGAUAACUACGUGCCAC